AUUGAACGCUGGCGGCAGGCCUAACACAUGCAAGUCGAACGGUAACAGGAAGAAGCUUGCUUCUUUGCUGACGAGUGGCGGACGGGUGAGUAAUGUCUGGGAAACUGCCUGAUGGAGGGGGAUAACUACUGGAAACGGUAGCUAAUACCGCAUAACGUCGCAAGACCAAAGAGGGGGACCUUCGGGCCUCUUGCCAUCGGAUGUGCCCAGAUGGGAUUAGCUAGUAGGUGGGGUAACGGCUCACCUAGGCGACGAUCCCUAGCUGGUCUGAGAGGAUGACCAGCCACACUGGAACUGAGACACGGUCCAGACUCCUACGGGAGGCAGCAGUGGGGAAUAUUGCACAAAGGGCGCAAGCCUGAUGCAGCCAUGCCGCGUGUAUGAAGAAGGCCUUCGGGUUGUAAAGUACUUUCAGCGGGGAGGAAGGGAGUAAAGUUAAUACCUUUGCUCAUUGACGUUACCCGCAGAAGAAGCGCCGGCUAACUCCGUG
Molecule: ribosomal RNA, 490 nt
Filed under: uncultured bacterium
Lineage: Bacteria
Description: partial 16S ribosomal RNA
Rfam family: Bacterial small subunit ribosomal RNA
Source: RNAcentral